UAAUACACUCAACAAUAAUUCUACUACUUUGGAUUGAGAAACACUUGUUCACAUCAAAUGUAAUAAUAUUCUUUUAGUAAAACACAAACCAAAUUAAAUAUACUUAGCUUCCCCUUUUUCCUUUUUCCCCUUUUUCUUUUUCUUUCAUGCAUAUCAAAACCUCAUUGAAGAUUCAUUCAUUCAUUGAUUGUAUUUUAAGCAAUCUGGCCUAAUAAUUCAUAUUUAUAAGAACCUUUUACCUUUGCAAUUCUGUUUUGUGUAAUCGGAACAGAAUUGUGUAUAAUAAAUAAGCAUUUACAUUAGGUAUGUGAUCCAUGUCCAUGAAUAACUUUCUUUGUUAUGGGGUGGUUGGACUCACUGUUGGGAAAUGGAAGAAAGUUUAUCAAAAGAAAAGACAGUGAUGCUGGUGAACCAGGUUUUUUUUUCUGAUUUUCUUAUCAUAUUCAUGUAUUAUUCAUUUUCUGUUGUUGGCUUUUGAUAUUUGAUGUGUUAAAUUCUUGAUAUAUCAAAAAAUUGAUGAGAUUCUGUUUUAAAAUGUGCCUGAAUAUUAGCAAUUUUAAAGGGAUGAUUAGUUUUAGAAGUUUGUUGAGUCAUUUUUUUUACACAAGUUUGUUGAGUCUUUUGAAUGUUAGUUUUUCUGUUUUUUCCAAAUUUUAGAUCAUGUUUGUUAUGCUAAGAAUAAGGGACACAUUUAAAUAUGUAUUCAGAUUAAAUUAUAAGUUACACUCUGAAUAGGAAUAAGCAAUAAAAGAUUAAUAUUCACUUCCAUAUAAUAUUUCAUAUUUGGCUCUGUCUACACCAAUUUUCACAGUCUAAAAUCAUAAGUGUGUAACAUUACAUUUUUUUAUCCUCCUUUCAUUAGUUUAUUACUUUUUGUUCUAUCAUAAUUGAAUCACAUAAUGAUACUGAUCAUAGACAAGGAUAUUUUAAGACUAAUGCUUGGUUAACAUGAUCAAGUAAAGCACUGGAAGAACUAUGCUCUCUAUCUGGCUGAAAAUGAGGAACUGACUCAAACUUGUCGCUUGCCACAGUUACAUAAUGUAUUAGUACCAUAUAUGGAUUUUGGAGAUAUUGAUAUCCCUUAAACGGUGUUGUCUGCAAGUUGUCAGAGCCUUGUGUGGGUUUAAAGAUUUCAUGUAGCCAAGCAGUUGAUCUUUAAAAGUAUUGCACACAGUCUGCUAUAGGCUAUAGCGUCCU
RNAcentral lists this long non-coding RNA (1197 nucleotides) under Trifolium pratense (red clover). RNAcentral's name for it is "long non-coding RNA (TPRA_LNC001852)". The record is from RNAcentral. Lineage: Eukaryota; Viridiplantae; Streptophyta; Magnoliopsida; Fabales; Fabaceae.